GGCCUGCACUUCAGUCUACGUCUGGUACUAGGCCUUUAUUUUAUUGUAUGGCAUUACUGCUUCAAGAAAUAUAUUUUUAGUCAUGGGCAAGACCUAAAAACAUAUCUGGUUGCUUUCCAAAGUCUGAAACGUUGUUUUUUUAAUCUCAAGAUGCAGGGUACGGGGAGCAAAGCCUACAGAAAUGGCCUGCUAAGUGAGAAGCAUUUAAACAACUUGUAACAGCAUACAAUUCACUAGGUCACAAUGUUCAGUUUAAAAGCUGUGUUUUCUAAGCCCUUAAUUUUAUCAGAACUUUAAAUAUAGGAUAAAUGCUUUUAUGCCUGUAGAAGAUGCAAUUAGAGUUCCACCAUUUAACAAGAGCCAGAAACAGCAACAAUUUCAGUGGCCAUGGCUAGGUUUUGCCUUCUAAUUGUAUGCUUUCUCUUCCCAGCUCCACCCAGCAUGUGCAUGUGAAGCCGACCAUAUCUAAAGCUAUGGCAAGGAAACUACAUGGGUGUGGUCCCAGCUAAGCCCAGCCACGUCUCUGCAGGGUGCUGACUGCUCCGGGAGGAGGAAAGCAUGAAACAGGAACAACAGUUCUGUGUCCUUUGCAUGAGUAACAGAUGUUUUGAAAGAGCUGCAAGAGACCAAGAUAAAUAAGAAGAGCUUCAUGCUGAUAUGGGAAGUGUCAGAAAGCCUUGAAGACACUCAGAGAACUCAAGGGAACCCUUAUCUCAUCUGCAUAUGGUGUUCACAAAGGGCCUGCUGGAAGAUCCAAGUCCAGUCUGCACUCAUGAAGCACCUGCUCUGCAGCUCUGGUCCUCUGAUACGCAUCUACACCACAAGAUGUGACCAGGAGAUUCGCUGUGCUGUCUGCUGUCCAUUGAAAUUAAACAUGGGUGCUCAGAGAGCAGAGGAGGGAGCUUCGAUGAAGUCUUGUAGAUCACCUGAAGGAGAUGAUUGAGAUGAUGCCUGCAGGUCACCUUGUGAGUGAACAUAUGAAACGGACUAGAAUUUCAUGGGAGCCUCAUUAUAUUAGGGCUAUAGGCCAAAUAAAGAAGUUCAAUCAUAUGAAUAUACA
RNAcentral lists this long non-coding RNA (1060 nucleotides) under Anas platyrhynchos platyrhynchos (common mallard). RNAcentral's name for it is "lncRNA (ENSAPLG00000028801.1)". The record is from RNAcentral. Lineage: Eukaryota; Metazoa; Chordata; Aves; Anseriformes; Anatidae.